Long non-coding RNA from Bactrocera neohumeralis, 1015 nucleotides. RefSeq lists it as uncharacterized. The record is from RefSeq and is a predicted model, not a curated record. NCBI's taxonomy places the organism in Eukaryota, Metazoa, Arthropoda, Insecta, Diptera, Tephritidae. The transcript has 4 exons.
UUACGUUAAUUAAAAAUUGCAUUUCUCUGGCGUUCGUAAAUGCGAAAAAAAUUCUUCGCAGCACAAUCGCAAUGGCAAGGCAGUAGAAUCAGCUGAUUGUGUAGUAGCAACCACAGCCGGAAAGAAUGCAGCAGGGUUGCAAGGACGCAUUUAUGUAUGUGCUGAAUAAAAUCAAAGACAAAUUUCAUUGCCAGAUGUCGUCUUCCAUAACGCCGAUGUUAAAAUUGUGUGCCGCGCUCAGAUUUUUUGCACAUGUCAGUUACCAACAAGCUAUAGGGAAUGAAUUUCAGUUGGGACUUGCUCAGCCAACAGUUUCCCUUAUUUAUUCAAGAUCGGGAAUACCAAAUGCAAUAGGCUGCAUCGAUGGAACCCAUAUUGCGAUUUAUGCUCCUACCACAAACAAACACCUCUAUCUAAACAGAAAAGGAUUUUUUAGCAUAAAUGCAAUGAUUGCUUGUGAUCAUGAUAUGAAUAUCCGUUUUUAUGGAACAAUAGUUCUCUAAAGGCAUGUUUAGAGGCAGCGCAUCAAAACGGAGAUCAGAACUCUAUUUAUUUAGGUGACUCCGGAUACCCACUAACCCCUUAUUUAUUAACACCUUUCCGUCAUGCAGAAUCUGGAACUAGGGAGUCAAUUUUUAAUAAGAAGCACGCGAAAGCCAGAAAUGUUGUUGAACGUACGAUUGGAGUUUUGAAAUGCCGUUUCAGAUGUCUUCUGAGUGAUAGAAAAAUGCGCUACGAUCCUGCUAAAGUAACAUCCGUUAUUAAUAUGCGCUGCGCCUUUCACAACAUUUGUAAAAAAUUUAGAAUCGGUGAUCCGGAGGAGGCUGAAAUCUUCUUUGAUGCCGUUAUACCAUUGGAACCAAUUAAUAAAAAUGGCAAUGCUUCACCAGGAGAGCGCCGCAGAAAACAAAUUGCUGAUGCUUUGAUGUAAAUGAAACUAUACCGACUUCAGUGAAUAAUAUAUUGUAUUCUUUUAUUUUAUUCAAUACUAUGAAAUUCAAUAUUACACAGAUAA